Molecule: microRNA precursor, 55 nt
Filed under: Ciona intestinalis (vase tunicate)
Lineage: Eukaryota; Metazoa; Chordata; Ascidiacea; Phlebobranchia; Cionidae
Description: miRNA (ENSCING00000023579.1)
Source: RNAcentral
CCAUCUUCCCCUAUUCUAUACUAUAUAUAUAGUAGGAUGGGGGAAGAUGGGACAC